RNAcentral lists this long non-coding RNA (343 nucleotides) under Vigna radiata. RNAcentral's name for it is "long non-coding RNA (VRAD_LNC016512)". Lineage: Eukaryota; Viridiplantae; Streptophyta; Magnoliopsida; Fabales; Fabaceae. The record is from RNAcentral.
CGUGAGAGGAUUGGCUUAUGUGGAGGAGUGAGAAAAUGCUGAAUAUGGAAAAUGAAGGAAUGGAAGUGUGAGAUGGAAGGUGGCCAGAAGAGAUCCUUUGGUAUUCUCUAGCCUUGACUUUCAAGGUAGAAUUGCUCUGGAGUGUUCUCAACAGAAAAACAAUUCAAUUAUCUCAAAAGUGAUUGCAAUAAGUGUAGGCAUGACUAUUUAUAGGACUAGAAGUCCCACAUGCCUAAAGACAUUGGGCUUGGGCCCCGCGUAUCAGGUCCAUUCUGGUGCUCAGCGGUUCACUUGACCCUUCUUUUCAUCCUUUUUUCUUCCUCUUUCACGGGUCUAAGUCCAC